Molecule: ribosomal RNA, 651 nt
Filed under: Drosophila polychaeta
Lineage: Eukaryota; Metazoa; Arthropoda; Insecta; Diptera; Drosophilidae
Description: eukaryotic LSU rRNA
Rfam family: Eukaryotic large subunit ribosomal RNA
Source: RNAcentral
AAAGAAAUCAGUUCAGCACUAAGUCACUUUGUCUAUAUGGCAAAUGUGAGAUGCAGUGUAUGGAACAUCAACAUUCUAGUAUGAGAAAUUAACGAUUUAAGUCCUUCUUAAAUGAGGCCAUUUACCCAAAGAGGGUGCCAGGCCCGUAUAACGUUAAUGAUUACUAGAUGGUGUUUCCAAAGAGUCGUGUUGCUUGAUAGUGCAGCACUAAGUGGGUGGUAAACUCCAUCUAAAACUAAAUAUAACCAUGAGACCGAUAGUAAACAAGUACCGUGAGGGAAAGUUGAAAAGAACUCUGAAUAGAGAGUUAAAUAGUACGUGAAACUGCUUAGAGGUUAAGCCCGAUGAACCUGAAUAUCCAUUAUGGAAAAUUCAUCAUUAGUUAUAUAAUAUUUAAUAAAUAUUAUAGAAAUAGUGUGCAUUUUUUCCAUAUAAGGACAUUGUAAUUUAUUAGCAUAUUCUAUUUAUCAAAAAAUUAUGACAUGAAGUUUAUUUUAAUUAUUGUGUUCGCGCAUUAACAUAAAAUAAAUGUUAUAACUUUGAUAAAGUGUUGAUAGAUUUAUAUGACUACAGUGCGUUAAUUUUUCGGAAUUAUAUAAUGUCAUAAUUAUCAUUGAUUUUUAUGUUUAUUAUAUGCACUUGUAUGAUUAA